This 505-nucleotide ribosomal RNA is filed under the name uncultured bacterium. Its description in RNAcentral is "partial 16S ribosomal RNA". It matches the Rfam family "Bacterial small subunit ribosomal RNA", at positions 28 to 507 of the family's 1533-position model. The record is from RNAcentral.
GACGAACGCUGGCGGCGUGCCUAAUACAUGCAAGUAGAACGCACAGUUUAUACCGUAGCUUGCUACACCAUAGACUGUGAGUUGCGAACGGGUGAGUAACGCGUAGGUAACCUGCCUGGUAGCGGGGGAUAACUAUUGGAAACGAUAGCUAAUACCGCAUAAUAUUAAUUAUUGCAUGAUAAUUAAUUGAAAGGUGCAAUUGCACCACUACCAGAUGGACCUGCGUUGUAUUAGCUAGUAGGUGAGGUAACGGCUCACCUAGGCGACGAUACAUAGCCGACCUGAGAGGGUGAUCGGCCAAACUGGGACUGAGACACGGCCCAGACUCCUACGGGAGGCAGCAGUAGGGAAUCUUCGGAAAUGGACGAAAGUCUGACCGAGCAACGCCGCGUGAGUGAAGAAGGGUUUCGGAUCGUAAAGCUCUGUUGUAAGAGAAGAACGGGUGUGAGAGUGGAAAGUUCACACUGUGACGGUAUCUUACCAGAAAGGGACGGCUAACUACGUG